RNAcentral lists this transfer RNA (83 nucleotides) under Canis lupus familiaris (dog). It matches the Rfam family "tRNA". From Rfam's summary of the family: Transfer RNA (tRNA) molecules are approximately 80 nucleotides in length. Their secondary structure includes four short double-helical elements and three loops (D, anti-codon, and T loops). Further hydrogen bonds mediate the characteristic L-shaped molecular structure. tRNAs have two regions of fundamental functional importance: the anti-codon, which is responsible for specific mRNA codon recognition, and the 3' end, to which the tRNAs corresponding amino acid is attached (by aminoacyl-tRNA synthetases). tRNAs cope with the degeneracy of the genetic code in two manners: having more than one tRNA (with a specific anti-codon) for a particular amino acid; and 'wobble' base-pairing, i.e. permitting non-standard base-pairing at the 3rd anti-codon position. The record is from Rfam by way of RNAcentral. RNAcentral also lists the same sequence under 1 other name. Lineage: Eukaryota; Metazoa; Chordata; Mammalia; Carnivora; Canidae.
GCCUGGGUGGCUCAGUGGUUGAGCAUCUGUCUUUGGCUCAGGACAUGAUCCUGGGGUCUUGGGAUCGAGUCCCACAUUAGGCU